Molecule: ribosomal RNA, 497 nt
Filed under: uncultured bacterium
Lineage: Bacteria
Description: partial 16S ribosomal RNA
Rfam family: Bacterial small subunit ribosomal RNA
Source: RNAcentral
GAUGAACGCUGGCGGCGUGCCUAAUACAUGCAAGUCGAGCGAACAGACGAGGAGCUUGCUCCUCUGACGUUAGCGGCGGACGGGUGAGUAACACGUGGAUAACCUACCUAUAAGACUGGGAUAACUUCGGGAAACCGGAGCUAAUACCGGAUAAUAUAUUGAACCGCAUGGUUCAAUAGUGAAAGACGGUUUUGCUGUCACUUAUAGAUGGAUCCGCGCCGCAUUAGCUAGUUGGUAAGGUAACGGCUUACCAAGGCAACGAUGCGUAGCCGACCUGAGAGCGUGAUCCGCCACACUGGAACUGAGACACGGUCCAGACUCCUACGGGAGGCAGCAGUAGGGAAUCUUCCGCAAUGGGCGAAAGCUUGACGGAGCAACGCCGCGUGAGUGAUGAAGGUCUUCGGAUCGUAAAACUCUGUUAUUAGGGAAGAACAAAUGUGUAAGUAACUAUGCACGUCUUGACGGUACCUAAUCAGAAAGCCACGGCUAACUACGUG